UGUAGCUCAGUGGUAGAGCAUUUGCGUAUCACACAAGAGGCCCUGGGUUUGAUCCCCAGCA
This 61-nucleotide transfer RNA is filed under the name Ictidomys tridecemlineatus (thirteen-lined ground squirrel). Its description in RNAcentral is "Spermophilus tridecemlineatus (thirteen-lined ground squirrel) tRNA". It matches the Rfam family "tRNA", at positions 6 to 65 of the family's 71-position model. Rfam says of the family: Transfer RNA (tRNA) molecules are approximately 80 nucleotides in length. Lineage: Eukaryota; Metazoa; Chordata; Mammalia; Rodentia; Sciuridae. The record is from Rfam by way of RNAcentral.